AACGAACGCUGGCGGCAUGCCUAACACAUGCAAGUCGAACGAGAUCUUCGGGUCUAGUGGCGCACGGGUGCGUAACGCGUGGGAAUCUGCCCUUUGGUUCGGAAUAACAGUUGGAAACGACUGCUAAUACCGGAUGAUGACGAAAGUCCAAAGAUUUAUCGCCAGAGGAUGAGCCCGCGUAGGAUUAGCUAGUUGGUGUGGUAAAGGCGCACCAAGGCGACGAUCCUUAGCUGGUCUGAGAGGAUGAUCAGCCACACUGGGACUGAGACACGGCCCAGACUCCUACGGGAGGCAGCAGUGGGGAAUAUUGGACAAUGGGCGAAAGCCUGAUCCAGCAAUGCCGCGUGAGUGAUGAAGGCCUUAGGGUUGUAAAGCUCUUUUACCCGGGAUGAUAAUGACAGUACCUGCAGAAAAAGCACCGGCUAACUACGUGCCAGCCGCCGCCGUAA
RNAcentral lists this ribosomal RNA (449 nucleotides) under uncultured bacterium. Its description in RNAcentral is "partial 16S ribosomal RNA". It matches the Rfam family "Bacterial small subunit ribosomal RNA", at positions 29 to 523 of the family's 1533-position model. The record is from RNAcentral.